This 212-nucleotide long non-coding RNA is filed under the name Elaeis guineensis (African oil palm). RNAcentral's name for it is "long non-coding RNA (EGUI_LNC074308)". Lineage: Eukaryota; Viridiplantae; Streptophyta; Magnoliopsida; Arecales; Arecaceae. The record is from RNAcentral.
UCCAACCAGAUGACAGGUCAUAGAUGAAUCGUCAAACCUCAACAUCAGUCAUAUGAUAGAUUCAAUCAGCUCGAGUCCAUUUGUGAUUCUAUAAAAUUUUUUUUUCAUCAAUCACACUGCUAUGGCCAUAGACUUAAGGACUCAUUCUCUUAAAUCUCAUUGGACUACUCCUUUCUGUUAGUGUCGAUAGAUCCCAUCUUGAUGCACACCCC